UUGCGGUUAAAAAGCUCGUAGUUGGAUUUCUGUCGGUGAGUUGCAGUCCGGCCACUGUGCUUGGUACUUGUAACGCCACCGGCAUCUUCCUGGGGACUGUGUCUGCUCUUCGUUGAGUGGCUCAUAAUCCAGGACUUUUACUUUGAAGAAAUAGGAGUGUUUCAAGCAGGCAUGCGCCGUGAACACGUUAGCAUGGAAUAAUAGCAUCGGACCUCGUUCCAAAGCUGUUGGUUUCUUGGACCGAGGUAAAGGUGAAUAGGGAUUGUUGGGGGCAUUCGUAUUUAACUGUCAGAGGUGAAAUUCUUGGAUUUGUUGAAGACGGACUACUGCGAAAGCAUCUGCCAAAGAUGUACUCAUUGAUCAAGAACGAAAGUUAGGUGAUCGAAGACGAUCAGAUACCGUCCUAGUCUUAACCAUAAACUAUGCCGACUGGAGAUCGGGGGUCGUUAACUUUGUGACGCCCUCUGCAUCUUGAGAGAAAUCAAAGUCUUUGGGUUCCGGGGGGAGUAUGGUCGCAAGGCUGAAACUUAAAGGAAUUGACGGAAGGGGCACCACCAGGAGUGGAGCCUGCGGCUUAAUUUGACUCAACAC
Molecule: ribosomal RNA, 591 nt
Filed under: uncultured marine eukaryote
Lineage: Eukaryota
Description: SSU rRNA
Rfam family: Eukaryotic small subunit ribosomal RNA
Source: RNAcentral